This 550-nucleotide ribosomal RNA is filed under the name uncultured Bifidobacterium sp. Its description in RNAcentral is "bacterial SSU rRNA". It matches the Rfam family "Bacterial small subunit ribosomal RNA", at positions 146 to 711 of the family's 1533-position model. The record is from RNAcentral. Lineage: Bacteria; Bacillati; Actinomycetota; Actinomycetes; Bifidobacteriales; Bifidobacteriaceae.
UCUCCUGGAAACGGGUGGUAAUGCCGGAUGCUCCGCCCCCUCGCAUGGGGGGUCGGGAAGGCUUUUGCGGAAUGGGAUGGGGUCGCGUCCUAUCAGCUUGUUGGCGGGGCGACGGCCCACCAAGGCUUCGACGGGUAGCCGGCCUGAGAGGGCGACCGGCCACAUUGGGACUGAGAUACGGCCCAGACUCCUACGGGAGGCAGCAGUGGGGAAUAUUGCACAAUGGGGGGAACCCUGAUGCAGCGACGCCGCGUGCGGGAUGGAGGCCUUCGAGUCGUGAACCGCUUUUGAUUGGGAGCAAGCGUGAGUGAGUGUACCUUUCGAAUAAGCACCGGCUAACUACGUGCCAGCAGCCGCGGUAAUACGUAGGGUGCAAGCGUUGUCCGGAAUCAUUGGGCGUAAAGGGCUCGUAGGCGGUUCGUCGCGUCCGGUGUGAAAGCCCAUCGCUUAACGGUGGGUCUGCGCCGGGUACGGGCGGGCUUGAGUGCGGCAGGGGAGGCUGGAAUUCCCGGUGUAACGGUGGAAUGUGUAGAUAUCGGGAAGAACACCA